AACCUUGCGCAGUGGCAAUAUCGUAAUCAAUGAAGUUCUACUGAGAUGCGAUUAUUGCUAGUUGAAAACUAUACAUUCAACUUUCUUGUACAAUUAUUGAAAUUAUAAACCCAAAAUUCCUAUA
RNAcentral lists this small nuclear RNA (124 nucleotides) under Cimex lectularius (bed bug). RNAcentral's name for it is "U4 spliceosomal RNA". It matches the Rfam family "U4 spliceosomal RNA". From Rfam's summary of the family: U4 small nuclear RNA (U4 snRNA) is a component of the major U2-dependent spliceosome. The structure of U4 snRNA from yeast and human has been reported. U4 snRNA presents a k-turn RNA motif in the 5p-SL related to recognition of Snu13 protein. Lineage: Eukaryota; Metazoa; Arthropoda; Insecta; Hemiptera; Cimicidae. The record is from Rfam by way of RNAcentral.